UACGGAGGGUCCAAGCGUUAUCCGGAAUCAUUGGGUUUAAAGGGUCCGCAGGCGGGCAAUUAAGUCAGAGGUGAAAUCCCACAGCUCAACUGUGGAACUGCCUUUGAUACUGGUUGUCUUGAGUUAUAGUGAAGUAGAUAGAAUAUGUAGUGUAGCGGUGAAAUGCAUAGAUAUUACAUAGAAUACCGAUUGCGAAGGCAGUCUACUAACUAUAUACUGACGCUGAUGGACGAAAGCGUGGGGAGCGAACAGGAUUAGAUACCCCCGUA
Molecule: ribosomal RNA, 269 nt
Filed under: uncultured prokaryote
Description: partial 16S ribosomal RNA
Rfam family: Bacterial small subunit ribosomal RNA
Source: RNAcentral